Molecule: long non-coding RNA, 233 nt
Filed under: Castor canadensis (American beaver)
Lineage: Eukaryota; Metazoa; Chordata; Mammalia; Rodentia; Castoridae
Description: lncRNA (ENSCCNG00000007907.1)
Source: RNAcentral
CACAUACCUUCAGUCCUUCCUCUCUCUGCCGCCAGCCAGCCUGGGAGCCCAGAGAGUCCAGGGCUUCCCAGUGCCUGUACUUUCUCCCUUCCCAACUCUCAACUUUCUUCUGUUGUGUGAAAACUGCCUCUCCUGCCCCAAAAGCUUUGCCUCUUCAACAUGACGGGGGUGAAAAGUGACCUUUUGAGGUGACUGUAACUGAAGAUUGCUUUACGGAAGCCAGAAAAGGUUUU